UGCAUGCCAAUGACGUAUUCUUUUUGGAACUGAAUAUAAGUGCUCCAACUCAAAUAUUCAUUACCAACACUGAGAACAAUGAA
RNAcentral lists this small nucleolar RNA (83 nucleotides) under Prolemur simus (greater bamboo lemur). RNAcentral describes it as "Small nucleolar RNA SNORD70 (ENSPSMG00000016934.1)". It matches the Rfam family "Small nucleolar RNA SNORD70". Rfam says of the family: snoRNA HBII-234 belongs to the C/D family of snoRNAs. It is the human orthologue of the mouse MBII-234 and is predicted to guide 2'O-ribose methylation of the small 18S rRNA on position A512. Lineage: Eukaryota; Metazoa; Chordata; Mammalia; Primates; Lemuridae. The record is from Rfam by way of RNAcentral.